UCACGAGAAUGUGAGUGAAAAACUUGUAUAAAUACGAAUUUGAUCCGUAUCUGAUGCUGAAGACUGGUUCAAUAAAGCUCCCCUGCGAUGAUUUGAAGAUGAAAACAGGUGCCACAUCAAUUUCCCGUCUCUAAAAUUGUCGACAAAGGAAGAACUUUGGGAACCAAGGUGACGUUGGAGUCGAAGAAAAAAUGAUGCUUUGGUUUUAGAGCCCCCUGAAAUGUUUUCCAACCGUAUUCUCAUCGAUGGACAAAGAGCGAAUAGCAAGAUUUAUUCAUCAAGGAGGAAUGUUGUGUACCAAGGUGACUUUAAAGUCGAAGAAAAGAAAUGAUGGAUGAGUCUUAGGGUAAAAGUCUUGCCCCUUUUGGGGCUGGGCUUCUAAAGGAUCUCUCUGAAAUCAUUUCCAACUUUAGCCAUCGAUGGACACAGAGCGGAUAAGCAAGAUUUUUAUUCGUCAAUGUCAAUCCACAUACUCGGUCCAGUGAACCAAAGGAAUGGACCUCCUUUGUCGAGAAAUGAAACAAUGAAGCAUACUUGUCCCAAGGCACACGUGAAAACAAGACAAUUUUACAUAAAAUUCACAAAGGAAAGAAAAAGAACUCAUACAUCGUAUGGCUGCUGGAAGAUUGUUAAUCCUCCGAAGGAAAUUAUGUUCCAGUACGAGGUACACACAUAACUCAACCAACUGCAAGAGGACAACCCAGGAAAAACGAAAAUGGACAAAUUAGAGAAAUGUGAUCUUUGUAUUAUGUAUUCGAAUAGAUUAAUUCUUAAAAAUUCUG
This is a long non-coding RNA of Coccinella septempunctata (seven-spotted ladybird), 782 nucleotides long. RefSeq lists it as uncharacterized. The record is from RefSeq and is a predicted model, not a curated record. NCBI's taxonomy places the organism in Eukaryota, Metazoa, Arthropoda, Insecta, Coleoptera, Coccinellidae. The transcript has 5 exons.